Molecule: long non-coding RNA, 612 nt
Organism: Conger conger (European conger)
Lineage: Eukaryota; Metazoa; Chordata; Actinopteri; Anguilliformes; Congridae
Exons: 3
Source: RefSeq, a predicted model, not a curated record
CUGCUUUACACUACGCUCAAAGCUUUUGGGUAUAUGAGACAGACCCUCAAAUAUAUUAAUUACAGCGAACUGUCUAGUUUUACGUACAUAGUUGUACCAAGACGUAACAUUUCAGAAGAGACCAUUUGCAACGAAGUUUAUCGUUUUCUCUCCAACGGCUAAAAGGAGGUCCACCGAAAAAAAGCCGAAAUAAAUCACGUCGCCGGAAAGAGAGGACUCUGGAGAUCGGAAAGCACAGUUUGCGUUGAAAGGGAGAGCGCGUGAAGCAAGAGGUGAGAGAGAGGUGGUGUUCUGGUGUGAGGGACCCGACCAUCUGGAUCCGUUUCAGAUAAGUGCAGCGGGCCGCAUCUGUCUCUUCAAACGCUGCCAUCGCAGCGCUUCUGCGAGCGUGCUAACAGGUCGCCGCUACAGUCACCCACGGCCAUUCAACACCCCGCUUUCACCAGCUAACAGCUCCUUCCCACUCGCACCACGUUCGGCUGCUUAGCAACACGCGCAUGUGGCAAUCCCACAGUGCCGUGCAUGUGACCGCGGCCCAUAAUCCACUGCAACAACGGCGCAGUUGUCCCGAGGAAACAGUAGCGGACGUCAAGGCCUCGCUGCUUCGGGGGG